UGUUAAUUAGUUAUUCUUCUAUAUUAUAAGAUACAUUUUACUAUAGUAUACGUUUCAGUCACAUAAUUGUAGCUUAUAAUUAAUGGAAUUCCAGAGUUAAAUGUCCCACCAGUCACUAUAGAAUGCCCGUUUUAUUAAAAUUUUUACGCUCGAGAAUUUGACAGUCUCUGACCCGGUAAAUAUUGCGUCACCCAGCUUAUCAUUUAUUUAAAGUCUGAAGAAUGACUAACGCAAUUAUCAAGUGUGAUUAAAUAUAAGUUGAGUAGCCGAAAUAUUCAUUGACUCGAAAAAUAAUUGACAAGGAAUCCCCCGAGUUAUAAAUAAUUAUUGUUAAUAUCUAAGUAUAUUUAAUCGAGAUAAUCCAGAUUAAAAUUAAAAAUUAAAAUAAAAAGAAAAAAUGAUACAAAACAUCGAUCGAUUGAUUCACACCUGCGCAUAUCUCAUUUUUGAUAGUUGCUCUUGAAUAAAAGAAAUUAAAAAGCCGCGUGAUCUUUUUCAAUAAACAGUGAACUUUACUGGGAAAUGAACUUCAAUGCUAAAUUACAUCGCUUGGUAUGCAUUACUCCUAUCAUAUUACGUCUUAAUGCACCUAUAUUUUGAGUGCAUGUGUAAACAUAUACGUACACUUGGAAAAAUACACCAAGCGUGCAGCUAACGAGUUCUUUUACGUAGAUGUAAGUUACGUAAGAAUUGCAAUCCCUGAUCAAUAAAUAUACAAGGAGGAAACGCAAAAUUAAUGCAUCGAUUUACUCGCAUAAAAUAAUUAAUUUUAAAAACAAAUAUCUUUUAACAUUUUUAUCGUUUAUUUAUGAGAUUCGUCCCCGUGAAAAAUUUAAAAGCAAAGGGCUGUCUAAAAAUAGGCUCAUUGAAAUGCGUGGAAGAUAUUAAUCUCAAAAAUCUUAAACUACAGGAAUAGCUUAAGGUCAUGGUGAAAGAUGGCCAUAGAAAGAAACUAAACCAUGAGAACAUUUUUGUUGUAUUAAAAAAAAUCUGACGAAGAAAAAUUAUAACUUUUAAAUUUAUACAAUCCACGUGACUUGGAAUUAAUUGUCUGGAGAGAAUAGAACCACAUAAGUGUUACGCGCACGUGGGUUUAUGUGACAAUAGUAAGAUCAUUGAUUAAACUCAAGUUCUUUGAACUUAAAACACUUUCCAAUAUCUAAUAAUAGAUGUAAUAAUUAUAAACGCUUUACGGUGAGUGUGUGACGUAAAUUGUCUGCUAAAAGUUUAAGAAAAAUUUUUCAAUUAAUUUCAUUUAUUUUUUAAUGUUAAAAAAAAAUUAAAUGCCAUAAUUA
Molecule: long non-coding RNA, 1295 nt
Filed under: Cotesia glomerata
Lineage: Eukaryota; Metazoa; Arthropoda; Insecta; Hymenoptera; Braconidae
Description: uncharacterized LOC123272128, transcript variant X3
Source: RNAcentral